CCUUCGCGACUUGUUUCAGGUGCUCUGCAGGCGAUGGCCUGGCAGGGUGAAACAGGGAAGCCGGUGGGCGCGCAAGGCGCGCGAAUCCGGCGCUGCCCCCGCAACGGUAGGUGAGUCAAGGCCGCGCAGGGCCACUGGGUGUUCGACCCGGGAAGGCGCGCGGUCCCGGGUGUUCAUGGCCCCGCUCACAAGCCCGGAGACCGGCCUGUUACAGCCAACGGCAU
Molecule: non-coding RNA, 224 nt
Filed under: Pseudomonas sp. JV241A
Lineage: Bacteria; Pseudomonadati; Pseudomonadota; Gammaproteobacteria; Pseudomonadales; Pseudomonadaceae
Source: RNAcentral